This 411-nucleotide ribosomal RNA is filed under the name uncultured bacterium. RNAcentral describes it as "bacterial SSU rRNA". It matches the Rfam family "Bacterial small subunit ribosomal RNA", at positions 64 to 507 of the family's 1533-position model. The record is from RNAcentral.
GAACGCUCACCGGGGUUUCGGCUCUGGAGGGAGUGGCGCACGGGUGAGUAGCGCGUGGGAACCUGCCCUUUUGUGGGGGAUAACCGAGGGAAACUUCGGCUAAUACCGCAUAAUGCCUUCGGGUUAAAGGAGCAAUUCGCUUGAAGAGGGGGUCGCGGCUGAUUAGCUAGUUGGCGGGGUAACGGCCCACCAAGGCGAUGAUCGGUAGCCGGCCUGAGAGGGCGCACGGCCACACUGGAACUGAAACACGGUCCAGACUCCUACGGGAGGCAGCAGUGGGGAAUUUUGCGCAAUGGGGGAAACCCUGACGCAGCAACGCCGCGUGGAGGAUGAAGUCCUUUGGGACGUAAACUCCUUUCGACCGGGACGAUUAUGACGGUACCGGUGGAAGAAGCCCCGGCUAACUUCGUG